AAGUCGUAACAAGGUUUCCGUAGGUGAACCUGCGGAAGGAUCAUUCAUAAUAAGUGUUUUAUGGCACUUUUUAAAUCCAUAUCCACCUUGUGUGCAAUGUCAGUCGGUCUUCUUUAUGGAGAUCGGCCAAACAUCAACCUAAUUUUUUAACUCUUUGUCUGAAAAAUAUUAUGAAUAAAAUAAUUCAAAAUACAACUUUCAACAACGGAUCUCUUGGCUCUCGCAUCGAUGAAGAACGCAGCGAAAUGCGAUACGUAAUGUGAAUUGCAGAAUUCAGUGAAUCAUCGAAUCUUUGAACGCAUAUUGCGCUCUUUGGUAUUCCGAAGAGCAUGCUUGUUUGAGUAUCAGUAAACACCUCAAAACUUUUUUUUAUUUUUGAAAAACAGUUUUGGACUUGAGCAAUCCCAACACCAAUCUUUUUUAGAUCGGUGGCGGGUUGCUUGAAAUGCAGGUGCAGCUGGACAUUCUCCUGAGCUAAAAGCAUAUUUAUUUAGUCCCGUCAAACGGAUUAUUACUUUUGCUGCAGCUAAUAUAAAGGGAGUUUGACCGUUUUGGCUGACUGAUGCAGGAUUUCACAAGGGUCGGAAACGAUUCUUGUAAAACUCGAUCUCAAAUCAAGUAAGACUACCCGCUGAACUUA
This 640-nucleotide ribosomal RNA is filed under the name uncultured fungus. RNAcentral describes it as "eukaryotic LSU rRNA". The stretch from base 194 to 347 matches the Rfam family "5.8S ribosomal RNA". Lineage: Eukaryota; Fungi. The record is from RNAcentral.